UACAGAGGUCUCAAGCGUUGUUCGGAUUCAUUGGGCGUAAAGGGUGUGUAGGUGGCGCUGUAAGUCGGGUGUGAAAUUUCGGAGCUUAACUCCGAAACUGCAUUCGAUACUGCGGUGCUUGAGGACUGGAGAGGAGACUGGAAUUCAUGGUGUAGCAGUGAAAUGCGUAGAGAUCAUGAGGAAGACCAGUGGCGAAGGCGGGUCUCUGGACAGUUCCUGACACUGGGACACGAAGGCCAGGGGAGCAAACGGG
RNAcentral lists this ribosomal RNA (253 nucleotides) under uncultured bacterium. RNAcentral's name for it is "partial 16S ribosomal RNA". It matches the Rfam family "Bacterial small subunit ribosomal RNA", at positions 524 to 776 of the family's 1533-position model. The record is from RNAcentral.